This 73-nucleotide transfer RNA is filed under the name Paramuricea clavata. It matches the Rfam family "tRNA". From Rfam's summary of the family: Transfer RNA (tRNA) molecules are approximately 80 nucleotides in length. Their secondary structure includes four short double-helical elements and three loops (D, anti-codon, and T loops). Lineage: Eukaryota; Metazoa; Cnidaria; Anthozoa; Malacalcyonacea; Plexauridae. The record is from Rfam by way of RNAcentral.
UCCUCUGUAGCUCAGUUGGUUAGAGCACUGCACCGGAAUCGAAGGGCUGCAGGUUCGAUUCCUGUCAGAGGGC